This 1003-nucleotide long non-coding RNA is filed under the name Gossypium barbadense (sea-island cotton). RNAcentral describes it as "long non-coding RNA (GBAR_LNC018747)". Lineage: Eukaryota; Viridiplantae; Streptophyta; Magnoliopsida; Malvales; Malvaceae. The record is from RNAcentral.
AAAAUACCACACAUUGCAGAUGCUAGUGGACAAAGAUGAACGAUUUUGUUCAAAAACAAAGACUGGGAAUUCCGUAAAACAGGAAACACCCUUUGAAACAGAAAAGAGAAGGAGCCCAUAGAUUAGAGAGGGUGACAGGGUUGUAUUGAAAUCAAAGACCACAUCAUUUGAUGUGAUCAAAAUCGUGAAGGUGGAAUUUUAUCAUAACAGUGAUGUGUUGUUUAAAGACGGUGGACACCAUCAGGAGUUGGGUGAGGAUAACUUUUUUUCUUUCAGGACACUGCAACAAUAAUUUGUUCAACCUUUGUCUUUGUCUCUCCCCUUUUCUCUUGUGUCCUGUUGUAUUUCUGUUGUGGAAAAUGAUAGUUUAGGUUUAAAAAGAUGAUGAAAAUUUUAAUUAGUUGCAUUACAGUGUAAAUAUUGUGAGAAGAUGUUAAAUUAUUUUUAAUGAUGUAUAAAUAUGUUAUAAAAACAACUUAAGAAAAAGAAAACGAAAAAGAGUAUUUCAUUGGAACCACACUUUUAAUAAUUUUAGAAUUUAUAAAUUUAUCAUAAAUGCACCUUUAAAAUACACUAAAAAAUAUAGGAUAUCCUCGGAAAUGUUUUGCAGAAACCAGAUGAACUUCAAAACCGACUUUUGCAUUGAUUUUAUGAUAGAUCUGUCGUGGGCUCACUGACAGCUCUGCAAGUAUGUAAAUGGCGAGCACAGGCUGGACAUGGAGUACCCUACCAAUACCAUGGGCAUUGAGCAACAGUGAACAUUAGAAGUGAGUAUCAUUAUCCAAAUUCCAAAUCAUACAGGUCAAACGUGGGUGAUGAUGUGAAUAUCUUAUGCAUUUAUGCUAGUGGGUCAAUAGAGAUGUCUUGUCGGCCAUCCCACAGUAGAUUAGUUGGGCUUAAUGUUCAACACCAAUUCGGCCUUAGUCUUAGGUGAAGUGCAAUGUUGUCGAUGGGUUUAGUCCACCACACACACAUACAUGCCAUUAUUAUUGAGUAGCUACAC